Molecule: ribosomal RNA, 504 nt
Filed under: uncultured bacterium
Lineage: Bacteria
Description: bacterial SSU rRNA
Rfam family: Bacterial small subunit ribosomal RNA
Source: RNAcentral
UAAUACAUGCAAGUCGAAUGCAUUGUGGUUGAAAUGAUAUGAAGAACUUGUUCAGAUUUGAUUUUCAACAUUGCAAUGAGUGGCGAACGGGUGAGUAACACGUGGGAAACCUACCUCUUAGCAGGGGAUAACAUUUGGAAACAAAUGCUAAUACCGUAUAAUAAUUAAAACCGCAUGGUUUUAGUUUAAAAGAUGGUCUUGCUAUCACUAAGAGAUGGUCCCGCGGUGUAUUAGUUAGUUGGUGAGGUAAUGGCUCACCAAGACAAUGGAUACAUAGCCGAGUUGAGAGACUGACCGGCCACAAUGGGACUGAGACACGGCCCAUACUCCUACGGGAGGCAGCAGUAGGGAAUCUUCCACAAUGGACGAAAGUCUGAUGGAGCAACGCCGCGUGUGUGAUGAAGGGUUUCGGCUCGUAAACACUGUUGUAAGAGAAGAAUGACAUUGAGAGUAACUGUUCAAUGUGUGACGGUAUCUUACCAGAAAGGAACGGCUAAAUGCGUG